AACGCGAAGAACCUUACCUGGACUUGACAUGCACAUGACCGCCGUAGAAAUACGGUUUUCUCGCAAGAGACAUGUGCACAGGUGCUGCAUGGCUGUCGUCAGCUCGUGCCGUGAGGUGUUGGGUUAAGUCCCGCAACGAGCGCAACCCUUGUCGUUAGUUGCCAACACGUAAUGGUGGGCACUCUAGCGAGACUGCCUAGGUUAACUAGGAGGAAGGUGAGGAUGACGUCAAGUCCGCAUGGCCUUUAUGUCCAGGGCUACACACGUGCUACAAUGGUCGGUACAGAAGGCAGCAAAACCGCGAGGUGAAGCAAAUCCUAAAAGCCGGCCCCAGUUCAGAUUGGAGUCUGCAACUCGACUCCAUGAAGAUGGAAUUGCUAGUAAUGGCGGGUCAGCAACACCGCCGUGAAUACGUUCCCGGGCCUUGUACACACCGUACGUC
RNAcentral lists this ribosomal RNA (442 nucleotides) under uncultured bacterium. RNAcentral describes it as "bacterial SSU rRNA". It matches the Rfam family "Bacterial small subunit ribosomal RNA", at positions 958 to 1398 of the family's 1533-position model. The record is from RNAcentral.